Molecule: RNA transcript, 1118 nt
Organism: Ixodes scapularis (black-legged tick)
Lineage: Eukaryota; Metazoa; Arthropoda; Arachnida; Ixodida; Ixodidae
Exons: 3
Source: RefSeq, a predicted model, not a curated record
AAUCUGGUCAUGUUUUGAAAUCUCGGGAAAACUAGAAGACCCCAACCACAAGAUGGAGCACCCGAGUCCAUACUUCUUGUGUGACGUCCUCAGCAUCAUCAAACGCGUGUGAAAUCGUCUCUUGCAGCACAAGUACAGCAUGAUCUGGCAGCACAAGAUAAACUUCAACCAGUACUCGACUGUCUGCAAGGCUGGUGCCAACGAGCCAAAUCAAGUAGUGCCGGAACUUACUCGGGAACAUGUCAGCCUCGACAACUUACGAAAGAUGAACGUCAGUUUCCAGCCUUCUGCUAUGUUUCGUUUGGUUUUGAAGACAGGAAUAACUUGUUUUGUUUUGCUUCUUUUUUUUUGGCGCUUCUUUAGAGUGGUCAGGACUUUCGGAGGUGAUGAAGAUCACCCAACUGUUGUGAGCUUCUCACACAUCUAUUGCCUCCUGGGAACCUGAUGGGGGAACAAUGGCUGUUCUUGCCUCCGUAGAACAGACAAUAAUCGCAAAAAAGAAAAUGAAAAUUGAAUUGGGGCACGAUAAACUUGAAGCUUGCCUCCAAAGUAAACUUGCUCAGACUUGUAGUUCUGCAGAUGAAAAACCUGACCAGAUACAUUAUCAUGCUUACAUGGACACAUUGGCGCAAGCCUGUGUUAUAUACUGCAUGUGUGGCUAUCUGGUGUGCUCGGUUGGUAAACACAACAGCUUUGGACAUUGUGAGCCCUGCGUGAGAGAUGUUCAUGCAGUGUGGAAUUGGUACUCGGAAGCUUAUCUCUUGCUCGAGAGGGAGUUGAAGGAGUUGAAGAGGGAAGCCUAAAACGCCCUUCAUGCAGAAUGUUUCUCAUGCUCAAAAAUGUUGAGGGAAAGAUUGCUUCCACACUGAAAGCUGAAGACCUUUGCGGUGACAUGAUGUGGAACCUGCUUGACGCACUAGAGGAAUGUGUGAUCGUGAGGUGGGGUGUGACAACCACAAGGGUGUUCACUGCUUAUCUUUUUCUGUAUUUUGUGAUUUUGCACCUUCACUUUUCUGCCUAAGACACAUCACGAAAGCUCAGCGUGUCGGUGAAGGUUGCAACUGCCAGAAAGAAGGCGAAGUGUAUUUUGUGCCUUCACAGAAAAAGGGGGAGAUGGG